Long non-coding RNA from Solanum lycopersicum (tomato), 821 nucleotides. RefSeq lists it as uncharacterized. The record is from RefSeq and is a predicted model, not a curated record. NCBI's taxonomy places the organism in Eukaryota, Viridiplantae, Streptophyta, Magnoliopsida, Solanales, Solanaceae.
UCAAUCUUCAGUUUUGACUCUUUUCCACUUCACCCUUGGUACUUCUCACGUCUUCCGACGACUGACCGAUUAGAAACAAUCCAAUGACCGGACGACCAGAAUGUUGCAGGCCAGCAAGCACCACAUAAGCAACAUUCAUUACACAGCAGCGAGUUAGCGACCAACAAUCCAACAUCAUGCAACAUCGAUCGACAUCACCUAGCAGCCGAAUAGGGAUCACCAUCGACCGACCGGCGAUCACCAUGAAUGAGGGGUCCAAGAGUUAAGACAAUGAAGAAAGGUGUAAAGUACCAAAUUUUGUUAGUGUUUUGGUAAUUUUAUUGGCACUUGAGACUUGAAAGUGAUUUCAUGGAAGAAAUGGAAGAGAGUCACGAAACAACAUUAUUGUUAUUUGUUAUUGUUGGCACUUGAAACUUGAAAGUGGUCUCAUGGAAGAGGUUACAUUGUUUGUUGCUCAUUAUUGUUGUUUGUUAUUGUUGGCACUUGAAACUUGAAGGUGGACUCAUGGAAGAGGCUAUAUUGUUUGUUGUUCAUUAUUGUUAUUUGUUAUUGUUGGCACUUGAAACUUGAAUAUGAUCUCAUGAAAACUACAUUGGUGCAUUAUUGUUACUUGUUAGAUUGUUAUUUCGUUGUUGUUUAAUGGUAUGAUCAAUUGAUCAUUGUAUUUGUGAAGUGUUGUGAAGUUUAAUUACUUGUAAAGUUGUUACUUGUUAGUGCCUUUUUGGCCUAAAACUGCCACAUCAUUUUGUAUUAUUAUGAGGAUUCUUUCAUUUUGAUUUGAUUUUUGAGGGGGGUAAGAUGAAUUUAAAUGUUUCCUUGAA